This 241-nucleotide ribosomal RNA is filed under the name uncultured bacterium. RNAcentral describes it as "partial 16S ribosomal RNA". It matches the Rfam family "Bacterial small subunit ribosomal RNA", at positions 92 to 334 of the family's 1533-position model. The record is from RNAcentral.
CGACCGGCGCACGGGUGAGUAACACGUAUCCAACCUGCCGAUAACUCGGGGAUAGCCUUUCGAAAGAAAGAUUAAUAUCCGAUAGCAUAUCAAUCUCGCAUGAGAUUGAUAUUAAAGAAUUUCGGUUAUCGAUGGGGAUGCGUUCCAUUAGUUUGUUGGCGGGGUAACGGCCCACCAAGACUACGAUGGAUAGGGGUUCUGAGAGGAAGGUCCCCCACAUUGGAACUGAGACACGGUCCAA